UACAGAGGUGGCAAGCGUUGUUCGGAAUCACUGGGCGUAAAGGGCGUGUAGGCGGUCCGCUAAGUCUGAUGUGAAAGCCCGGGGCUCACCCCCGGAAGGGCAUUGGAAACUGGCGGACUCGAGUCCCGGAGAGGAAGGUGGAAUUCCUGGUGUAGCGGUGAAAUGCGUAGAUAUCAGGAGGAAUACCGGUGGCGAAGGCGGCCUUCUGGACGGUGACUGACGCUGAGACGCGAAAGCGUGGGGAGCAAACAGG
RNAcentral lists this ribosomal RNA (253 nucleotides) under uncultured bacterium. Its description in RNAcentral is "partial 16S ribosomal RNA". It matches the Rfam family "Bacterial small subunit ribosomal RNA", at positions 524 to 776 of the family's 1533-position model. The record is from RNAcentral.